AGAUCAAUGAACUGUACGUAAUGUUGUGUGGUUGCAGACUUGUACAAAUCUUCAUGAGAGCUGAGCAUUAAUGAAGGGACGAAAGAAGUAAAGACAAACAAAAUGGGACGAACUAAAAAGACCUUACCGUGCUUAAACUCCUGUUUAUUGGUGCUGCUCUUGCUUCGCUCAUCUUUGAAGACUCACUGCUGUCGCUUUGUCGUCUUGCGUUUGGUGUAUUUCUCGAAUCAACGUACCGUCGUUGCUUGUUCCGAUUUGAUUUAUGACCAUUGCCUAUAGAUAUUGUUAAUAGUUAACACACAUACGUUCAUUGAUAGUAGAAUUUCACGUUCAAACCUUUAGUUGGCAAGAUUACUGUUUUCACAAAUGACUUUGUACACCUGUACCAAUCGGAGACAGUUAAAUUGCGCAGACUACGGGGACGAUCCGUAAUCGCUUGUUGUCUAAAAUCUGGAAACGCAUCCCUUUGUACAGCCUCUCUGGGCGAGCGUGGUGGAUCUCUGUAACGCUCACGAACAUUACGUUCAGUGGAUGGUUGUCUAUUCGUGGACAUAAGGUUUCGCGUCGCAGCUACAACAUCAGUUCUAUUUCUAUUGUAAGCAGUCGACGCACGAAUAGGAUCCAAGUAAUAGCGCACCCCAAGUACCUGUAAAGUCGACUUGAUGAAUAUCAAUCCAAUCUUUCUCUGGCGACGUGCGGCCCAAUGAUUAGCCCGUCUUCCUCUAAACCAGAGGUUAUGCAUGGCUCGUUGCUACUAUACCAGUGUGGGCGUAUGUGUCUUUGAGCAAGACACUUUGCA
Ciona intestinalis (vase tunicate) is the source of this 799-nucleotide non-coding RNA. The record is from RefSeq and is a predicted model, not a curated record. Lineage: Eukaryota; Metazoa; Chordata; Ascidiacea; Phlebobranchia; Cionidae.